This 482-nucleotide ribosomal RNA is filed under the name uncultured bacterium. RNAcentral's name for it is "partial 16S ribosomal RNA". It matches the Rfam family "Bacterial small subunit ribosomal RNA", at positions 30 to 507 of the family's 1533-position model. The record is from RNAcentral.
AUUGAACGCUGGCGGCAUGCCUUACACAUGCAAGUCGAACGGUAACGGGCCUUCGGGUGCCGACGAGUGGCGAACGGGUGAGUAAUACAUCGGAACGUGCCCGAUCGUGGGGGAUAACGAGGCGAAAGCUUUUCUAAUACCGCAUACGAUCUACGGAUGAAAUCAGGGGACCGCAAGGCCUUGCGCGGACGGAGCGGCCGAUGGCAGAUUAUGUAGUUGGUGGGAUAAAAGCUUACCAAGCCGACGAUCUGUAGCUGGUCUGAGAGGAUGAUCAGCCACACUGGGACUGAGACACGGACCAGACUCCUAAGGGAGGCAGCAGUGGGGAAUGUUGGACAAUGGGCGCAAGCCUGAUCCAGCCAUGCCGCGUGCAGGAUGAAGGCCUUCGGGUUGUAAACUGCUUUUGUACGGAACGAAAAGCCUUAUUUUAAUACAGGAGGGUCAUGACGGUACCGGAAGAAUAAGCACCGGCUAACUACGUG